AAAUUUGCCUCUUACAAUAACUGACAGUCUUCCGUCUCCCACAUCCAGAGAAUGUUUCCUUUGGUUCGGCUGAUCGUGUCACGUUCCUUGAUGUUAUAGAAAGGUGAAGACUGGGCUUAAAGUGAAACCUCUGACUACAUUUUGCUGCACCCUGGCAUUGACUAACAGAGGGACGCCACAGCUCGGCUGCCAGGUGGCUGUCCCCACAUGCAUCCUGAGGGCAGGCCAGCUGAGGCUCAGACGUCCUCGCUUCCUUCCCCAACCUGUGGACUAGAGCCCAGCUGAGGGUCAGGCUUUGCUCACAGACCGGCCAUUCAACUGCAGCCUUGCUCAACCCCCCGGCCACCGCGGCUCCUGAGAGUGGAAGGUGCUGCUGAACAUCGUGCGGAGAUUAUAAAUCCUCGGCAACUCAGGUUCCUGGCUUUCAGCUUAACGAUAAUCACCUGUACUCCAAGCCCUUCUAAAAUGCCAGGUACCAGGCUCAUCCCAUCACAAACACCCUCCUGCCAUCCUCAGAACAGCAGGAGGUAGGUACUGUGAUUUCUCCCAUUUUCAGAUGAGCAGACAGCCUUAGAGAGGCUAAGCUGCUUCCCCGUGGUCCUGUGAAAUGAGUGCACCCCUAACCAUUGGGACACACCACCUCUGACAGCGGCUGACUGAGCCCGCCCACAAGCCCGGCCCUGGCCAUGCAGCUCACAGCAGGAAUCCAGCGUUCCCUGAGAAGUUACGAGGAUCCUGCGUUUCCUGCAGAGCUGGGGGGCUGUUCUUCCACAUCCAAGUCCAAGUGUGUGCCAGGGCUGGAGCUCUGGGCGGCCCUCACGGGUCUGUCCCUAACGAGAUCUCAGGAGAACCCCAGCCCUCACUGGGGAGAGGCCCCAGGGAGAGGCCCACAUGGGCCUGAGGGUCAUCUGUGCUGGGGCUACCACUUACAGGAGCCGUGCUGUCCACGGGGCACCCCGAAGCGCUCAAGAAUGAGAAGGCUAGACCUCUGGAAGCCUCCAGGCUGGGCGAGGACAUCCUCUUGAAGAGGCACCAGUGUGACACGAUGGUGGACAGUUCCCUCUGGGCACUCAGGACCCAGCAUCCCGAAGACCAGAUCCUGAAGUGGCAGCCCUGUGUGUGGAGGGCAGAGGGAAGCAGUUUGCACCUGCUCGGGCAGGAACGGCACAGUUCAUCUUACCCCUUUGAGGAACUGCUUCCAAGAAACACAAAAAGAAACAUUCUGAGGACUGGGUAUUUUUCCACUUGGCAAACGUCUGUGAUUUAUAGGACACAUGGUACUCUGUCCUGACUCCGGUCCUUUCCUUCUUCCUCCACCCACGAUCCUGUCCGCCUGGCUCAGGCCGAGGGCCCAGGUCAGCUGCACACUCAGCUCCGGGCCUGUGUCCCUCGGUGGGAGGACCAGGGAGACCGCAAGGAGAGGGGCCGCCCAGCCGGCAGCUCAUUCUCAAGGGCCAGCAAAGUUCCUCGAAAAGCAAACGUCCACCUUGGUUUCUCCGGAGCCAAUAGGUGUCAGACAGACCUGAGUGGGCAUGUUUCCUGGUUUUGCAGCGUGUCCGCAGAGUAGGGGAUGCACAGGGCAAAGCCACCCGCCACCCUGGCUACAGAAUGAAGUUCCUGUGGCUCUCACCAGCUGGGGCCCAACAGCCACCAGCAUCCUCCUAAAAGAAGCUAGAAUUUUUUAAAAAAAAUCUAGUUUGAAGGGGUCCUUGAGACUGUCCUCAGAGACAAUUUGCAAAUUAGGAAACCCAAAAGAAAAAAGAAAAAAAAAAGAGAGCGGGAAGAGGUUAUUUAAAAAAUGUAUUCAAGCAGCAUUUGUUUAUUUACAAAGUACAUGCUAUAAUCAUUAGUGCUGGGUCACUAGAAGUUUUACAAAGAUUAGUUAUAUUUAGUCCCUACCCUCAGGGACCUAUGAGGAGAAUCGCCCCCGAAAGGGCUUCAUCCCAUCUAGUGUUUCUGUCCAUAAUUUUUAGGUCUGGUUUGCUUUGGCAGAAGUGACUCAGCUAACAAUUGGGCUGAAGACAUUUGAAAUUAGAGUUAGUGUAGCCAAUCUGAGUUCAGCUCAACUCAAUGGCACUGAGUGAGCAUCUGCUAUAUGGUAGGGACUGGGCCCAGCGUCAGGGGUGCAAAGGAUGCCAUUACAGAGAUAAGUUUACUGCAGAACACCAGCAAAAAUGACUGACAGAUGUGAAUAACACACAAAUGGACAUUCUGGCAAUGAAAAAUGUAAGCACUGAAAUGAAAAUCACAUUUGAUGGAUAAAACAGACGAUUAGACACCAAAAGAGAAUGUAUUUAGAAUGCAGCAAAGAAAUAUAAAAAUACGUACAAAAUGAAAGAGUUCUACAUCAAAGAAUGAGAAGGCCUCAUAUAUCUGAUUGGAGUUCUGAGAUAGGGAAUAUAGAGAGAAUGGAAGCGAGGCGUAAGGAUAUUCUAGAAAUGAUGAAAAAUGCAGAUGAACCCAGAUCCAGGAAGUAUAAACUAUCCUGAGGAAGAUAAAUUAAAAACAAAUCCAUGCCUAGACACGUUGUAGUAAAAUGGCAAAACGUCAAAGACAGAAGACCUUGAAAGCAGCCAGAAAGAAAAGACAGAUGACUUAAAAAGGACGGUUCGAAUGAGAGUUGACUUCUCCACAGAACAAUGGAAACCAGAAAACGAGCCCUGAAGUACUGAGUGGAAAUAGCUGUCAACCUGGACUUGUGUACUCAGCAGAAGUAUCAUUCAUGAAUAAGAGCAACAUACUGACAGGGACUAUUCUAAAGAAUAAACUUCAAGGGCCCUGGCU
Long non-coding RNA from Myotis brandtii (Brandt's bat), 2784 nucleotides. RefSeq lists it as uncharacterized. Lineage: Eukaryota; Metazoa; Chordata; Mammalia; Chiroptera; Vespertilionidae. The transcript is spliced from 4 exons. The record is from RefSeq and is a predicted model, not a curated record.